CCUACGGGCGGCUGCAGUGGGGAAUAUUGGACAAUGGGCGAAAGCCUGAUCCAGCCAUGCCGCGUGUGUGAAGAAGGCCUUCGGGUUGUAAAGCACUUUCAGUGGGGAAGAAAGCCUUGGGGCUAAUACCCUCGAGGAAGGACAUCACCCACAGAAGAAGCACCGGCUAACUCCGUGCCAGCAGCCGCGGUAAUACGGAGGGUGCGAGCGUUAAUCGGAAUUACUGGGCGUAAAGCGCGCGUAGGCGGUCUGAUAAGCCGGUUGUGAAAGCCCCGGGCCCAACCUGGGAACGGCAUCCGGAACUGUCAGGCUAGAGUGCAGGAGAGGAAGGUAGAAUUCCCGGUGUAGCGGUGAAAUGCGUAGAGAUCGGGAGGAAUACCAGUGGCGAAGGCGGCCUUCUGGACUGACACUGACGCUGAGGUGCGAAAGCGUGGGUAGCAAACAGGAUUAGAUACCCCGGUAGUC
RNAcentral lists this ribosomal RNA (465 nucleotides) under Vreelandella stevensii. RNAcentral describes it as "partial 16S ribosomal RNA". It matches the Rfam family "Bacterial small subunit ribosomal RNA", at positions 338 to 795 of the family's 1533-position model. The record is from RNAcentral. Lineage: Bacteria; Pseudomonadati; Pseudomonadota; Gammaproteobacteria; Oceanospirillales; Halomonadaceae.